Molecule: long non-coding RNA, 494 nt
Organism: Populus euphratica (Euphrates poplar)
Lineage: Eukaryota; Viridiplantae; Streptophyta; Magnoliopsida; Malpighiales; Salicaceae
Exons: 3
Source: RefSeq, a predicted model, not a curated record
GGCAUCCUUCUUAUGUAGCAUGUUGCUACACUGAUUGUGAAUUCCACUAAAUUAAGAAAGAGGUGUCAUUCUUCCACACGAGACACAGAAUUUAUUAUAGAAGAAGUUGCUGAGAUUGAUCCUUCGUUACUAUUUAAAGGGGAAAAUGAAGAACCGUUCUCUCUUCUAUUGCAGUGGAAGCAAUUCAUAACCAUGCAAGCCAGUGCUCCAUAUGCAGCGAUGUUACUAGUUCAAUUAGCUUAUGGAGGAUCUAAUAUCCUCAUGGAAAUUGCUUUGAGAAGGGACUCUAUCAACUAGUAUUUGUGGUUCACCGUCAUCUCAUUGCGAUGAUUUUUGUGGGCCCUUUUGCUUAUAUAAUUGAAAGUUGCAGAGUAAUGUUAUCUCGAGUUUGACAUUCAUAAUGGCAGUUUUACUCUGGAUGGAGAAAGUGAAGACUGGCACUGAUAAACAUCUAUAGCACCAAAGGUUCUGCUGGUGGGUACAGGCAUGCUAAA